AGAAAGUUUGAAAAAAUGAACAGAGGAAAGGCAAGAAUAUUUAGCUGAAGUUUACACAUGUCCAGUGCUUUCUAGCCUCUGCUGAAUUAAGUGGAAUUGAUGUUAAGUCUUGGCUGUGUAUGGAGAUGGUGCCGCCUCCGCAGUGCAUUGACAUGCAAACCAGAUCCCACCAGAGACAUGGAGAGAAGUAUCAAACCGAGGACUGACUGAUGGAUGACUAAGGUUUGCUUAAAGUAGGUGCAAGCAAACCUCUUAUUAAAUCCUAAACACCGUAGCAUUAAGUACAGAGCUGUCAGAGAGAACAGUGCAAGACUGGAACAGUUUAGAAGAGGAGAGAACCAGCUAAAGAAGGAUAAUUAUAGAAUCUCUUGGCCCAAUGCCCGAGAAAAUUAGUUUUUUGUUUGUCUUGUGUGCCCCUUUGAGAGGAAGGGAUCCUGAAUGUUUGGAAUAGGUUGGAGAACUGUGGGGUUUUAAACUCUCCUUAUCAUGUCUGGAAAGAUCAAAACCUCAGGACAGAUGGACAGCCUUUUCCUCGCCCCAACAUUUCUCUGCAUAUCAAACACAGGAAGAGCUGAAGAAGAGAAAA
Molecule: long non-coding RNA, 586 nt
Organism: Carassius carassius (crucian carp)
Lineage: Eukaryota; Metazoa; Chordata; Actinopteri; Cypriniformes; Cyprinidae
Exons: 3
Source: RefSeq, a predicted model, not a curated record